Molecule: long non-coding RNA, 1046 nt
Organism: Limulus polyphemus (Atlantic horseshoe crab)
Lineage: Eukaryota; Metazoa; Arthropoda; Merostomata; Xiphosura; Limulidae
Exons: 3
Source: RefSeq, a predicted model, not a curated record
CAACCAGACUAUAAGAGAUUUAACUUUGUAUAUCUUUUACAUUAUGUAAAACACAAAGAAACGAGAAUUGUUGGUCUUGCAAAAUCGAGUAUCUUGGUCAAGCUGCUCAUACAUGCAUGAUGUUAUAUGAUGAUGAAGAUAUCUGAAGACUGCUCUGAAUCAAAUCCAGGCCACAUCAUGAAUGCAUCAAAAUUAAUAGUAGUCGGAGAGGCAGUGAAGGCAAUACUAGAAGAUGGCCUGUAAUAGGACAGUGAUGAGUUUGAUGGUAAUAUCAGUGACUCAGAGGAAGUUUCAAAAUAAUGAAGAUGUGCUUAGAGAAGAAAUUAACUAUGAAACUGAAGAUAAUGUUGAGGACAAUCCAAAAGAAUCUGGUAAUGAAACUGCAGGAAAAGAGUUUGAGGACAACGAAAGUAGUGAUGAAGAGGAAGUUACAAUCUAGGAUAAUAGUAAUUGUACUUUGCAAACACUUACAACUGUACGUGUGGUUACAUCUGGCAAGCAAAGUCCAGAGAAAAAGUCAUGAUGUAACUCAUAACAUGUUGAGGGAAGCAAUGGGACUGAAAGAAGAUGGAAAGGUACAAAAUAUACAGGACACACUAAAUAUAUUUCUGAUUACUGAGAUGAGGCAAAUAAUUGUAAGAUUUAAAAAUCAGAAAGCACAAAAUGCAUAUGAAAAAUGGAACUGUGAUCAUAAUGAUAACAAAAAAUGGAAAGAUGUAGAUUAAAUAAAACUCGAAGACAUUAGAGAGCUGUUGAAGAUGGAGGACUCUGGUCGACCAAUAUUCAGUGCUACAAUGGGAUUGGGGUGCUUUCAAAAUAUCUUGAGGUUUCUACGCUUUGAAAAUAUUCAAACCUGGUCUGAUCGCAGGAAUACCAACAAAACGGCACCAUUUAGAGAUAUGUUUUCAGGGAACAUUACAGAGGCCAUACAAGCCUGGAUCAGACCUGACAACUGAUGAACAAUUAGUGUCAUUUCAUGGUUAUUUUCCUUUCAGGCAGUACAUGCCAUCAUAAUCUGCAGGUGUAUGUAGCUAAAAGAAAAUAAA